GCUUACGGCCACACCUCCCUGAGCACGCCCGAUCUCGUUGAUCUCGGAAGCUAAGCAGGGUCGGGCCCGGUUAGUACUUGGAUGGGAGACCGCCUGGCAAUACCAGGUGCUGUAACCC
This 118-nucleotide ribosomal RNA is filed under the name Esox lucius (northern pike). Lineage: Eukaryota; Metazoa; Chordata; Actinopteri; Esociformes; Esocidae. The record is from RNAcentral.